This 402-nucleotide ribosomal RNA is filed under the name uncultured bacterium. RNAcentral describes it as "bacterial SSU rRNA". It matches the Rfam family "Bacterial small subunit ribosomal RNA", at positions 356 to 773 of the family's 1533-position model. The record is from RNAcentral.
GAGGAAUAUUGCGCAAUGGGCGAAAGCCUGACGCAGCAACGCCGCGUGAGGGACGAAGGCCUUCGGGUCGUAAACCUCUUUUCUGAGGGAAGAGACAAGGACGGUACCUCAGGAAUAAGUCUCGGCUAACUACGUGCCAGCAGCCGCGGUAAAACGUAGGAGGCGAGCGUUAUCCGGAUUUACUGGGCGUAAAGCGCACGCAGGCGGGUCGGCAAGUUGGAUGUGAAAGCUCCUGGCUUAACUGGGAGAGGCCAUUCGAGACUACCGGGCUUGAGGUUGGGAGAGGGGUGUGGAAUUCCCGGUGUAGUGGUGGAAUGCGUAGAUAUCGGGAGGAGCACCAGUGGCGAAAGCGGCACCCUGGCCCACACCUGACGCUGAGGUGCGAAAGCGUGGGGAGUAAAC